CGGACGGGUGAGUAACACGUGGAUAACCUACCUAUAAGACUGGGAUAACUUCGGGAAACCGGAGCUAAUACCGGAUAAUAUUUUGAACCGCAUGGUUCAAAAGUGAAAGACGGUCUUGCUGUCACUUAUAGAUGGAUCCGCGCUGCAUUAGCUAGUUGGUAAGGUAACGGCUUACCAGGGCAACGAUGCAUAGCCGACCUGAGAGGGUGAUCGGCCACACUGGAACUGAGACACGGUCCAG
This 241-nucleotide ribosomal RNA is filed under the name uncultured Staphylococcus sp. Its description in RNAcentral is "partial 16S ribosomal RNA". It matches the Rfam family "Bacterial small subunit ribosomal RNA", at positions 99 to 334 of the family's 1533-position model. Lineage: Bacteria; Bacillati; Bacillota; Bacilli; Caryophanales; Staphylococcaceae. The record is from RNAcentral.